Molecule: non-coding RNA, 3157 nt
Organism: Osmia lignaria (orchard mason bee)
Lineage: Eukaryota; Metazoa; Arthropoda; Insecta; Hymenoptera; Megachilidae
Source: RefSeq, a predicted model, not a curated record
AACAAAUUUUUUAUAGAUAUUUAAAAGAAAAAUUUAAAUUCGGUUUUUUCAAAAAUAAAGUUGCAAAUAAAAAGAAAUUUAUUUAUAUUUCUAAGCGAACUUAAAGCCUUUCUUAGAAGCUACAUUACUAUUAUUGGAACAGCUUGUUAUAACAUAUUUUAUUUUCCAUUUCUAACUAUAGAAUACACUUUCAAAGUGUGGUUAGAAAACCAUAAGAUAUCCAGUACAUUUUUCCAUUUUGAAACUGUAAUUCAAUCUUCCUGGAAAGACAAGUAUGGCACGUAUAGUUUAGAAAAGUUUAGAAAAGCAUUUCCCCAGUUAAGUCUCUAAACAAAAAGACAAGUUGCUUCGGUGCAACUUGUUUCGCUCGUUCAAAGCGGUACCAGCUUUCGAGAUUUCUAAAUGGUCACCUUGAUUUUAAUCGAAUGUAAAAGAUCAAUCGCCAAUAGAUUGUAACCGAUCGAUCGGUUUUCGAAUAUUGUUUCCAGUCGAGUGGAGUCGUUGAGGUUUAUGGUGGAAAGUAAGGAAGUAAAACGCAGCGGGUAUUGUGUUAAUAUGAUUAGCGGUGACAUGCUGAACAUAGAAACUGAUUUGUCUCUUGCGGUUGAAAAAGGUUGAAUAGUGUUAAUUCUUAAAAGGCGAGAAACUCUUAAGUAAUCAUUCAAACAAUACAAAGAUACCUAAGUGCACGUACGUGUCACAUGCUUUUUUUUAUUGUAUACUCGUCUACACAAAUAUUCGUAUUUAUACAUUUAUUAAGUCGACAAUUUUGCAAAAAUAAUAAUCUUUUUGGUGUAACGUUGUAGUAAUAUUUUUAAUGCAAAUAGAGAAAAAAUAAUAGUAAGUUUAAGUUAUUUUCUAAGAAUUUAAAAAUUUGGUUUAAAUGUUUUUUAGAAAGUAAUCGAUUUAGAUGUAUGUUCAAAAAUGAAAGUGAAAGCAGAGCGAGAAAGUGGAAUAGUUUUUCCACUGCUAUCACCAUGUUUUUCAAUGUGUUUAAUAAGACAUAACAAACUUUAGAAAAAUAAUUUCCUUUAGAAUGCUUUAGAUAAAAUCGCAAGCUAUACUUCCAUAAUUUAUAUCACUCCUCCAACAGCUAUAUUGAUUAAUUUUGCAUAAAGUGAAAAUAAUAUAAGACCAUAUUAAGAAAUUAUUUAAAAUGAAAAGUAUGUACUGACUUUUAAGACUUACUAAAAUUAGAGCUAAAUACAUUUAAAGCAAAAAAUAUUGCAAAUAGUAAUAGUAAUAGUAAUUGAAAUACUUUUAUUAAGAUAAAAUAACAUCAAUUAUUAAUCCAAGUGAGAACCAAUAGAAUCAAUAAUCUUUUGUCAUAUUUCUAAUAACAUUUCAAUCUUUUUGCACCAGAAGUUACAGAAUAAUUUGAAGCAAAACACACCUAAAGAUCAUUCAUUCAAUUUUCUAGUCUAAUAAUUCAGGGAUCAAUAUGAAUUUUAAUUUUAUCCUGAAAGUAUUUUUGUUAUAAUAAGAAAAGAAAUAAGAAUUGUUUCUCACGGCACUCGAUGGAAAGAAAGGAUCGUGCUCGAUCUAUGAUCACGCCCUUCUGUGUGGUAUUUACCUCGAUAUUACUUGCAAUAACGAACUGCUAAGAUUUACUAAGAUGAUUUAUCGUGAACUUUUUCAUUUGUAAAGCCGCAAAGCCAAUUUUGUGAAGCAAUACUUGCUUUAUGGAUAAAUCAGCUUUACACGAAUUGGUUGUUAUCGAAUAUUCAUCGUAAUUAAGGUUUCUAUUCCUUAGAGAUUGUAAUAUUUUUUACUUAAGCAUGAGAAAGUUUCCUACUUGAAAAUGUUAGAACACUUUCUAUUAUAAUUUUAUGACCAUAAAUUGCACCCUACCCAAUAAACAGGAGCGAUUAUUGAAAAAACAAAAGAGAAAAUUUAAAGAUUCAAUUUUGUAGAAAUUUUGAAGAUUUUAACAAAGCAGAAUCAAUUUCUGUAAUCAAUCAACCUUUAAUAUAUAUUUUGCAAUUCUCUAUUUUUUAUGUUUAUUUUGCAAUUUUAUAUUUACACUAAAAAUAACUUUAAAUAUUAUACAUUAAUUAUACGAAAUUUUAAGUUUGUUAUUUAACUAAUUUCAUGAAAUUGGUAGGCUUUGAAAUAUUCGAAGAAGAGCAAUUAAAGGGAUUAUGUUAAACAUGAAAGUAUACGUUAGAUUCUUCACGCUCUUUCAGUAUGUAUGGAAAUAAUAGCUGAAGGGGAGUGUUAAUGAGUGAAUUAAGUACUCAUAAAAAGGCGGAAACUUAGAAAGCGUAGAAUUACAAUCAAGGCAAGAAGCUCGUUCGUGUGCAGUUUUGCAAGCAAAAGAAGAGGCAGAUUGAUAGAAAGGAUCAUGAAUCAAAAUAGAGCACGCAAAUUUUCAAUUCUACUUUCGUAAUGCAUAAAAGUAGCCUUAUUGUUGUGAAAAUAUCCUAGAAAGUAUCAUGUUCGACAGCAAUUCUCAACUAGUGGUAAGUACACGUACCACUUAUGGUACGUGAGAGGCAGCUGUGUGAUAAGUGGAUAAUUUGUGCAAUAUACAGUUUGAGUAAUUUGUUUUAUGUUUAAACGUUGAACAGUGAAUAACAAAAGAUCAUCGAUAAUAGCGACAAUUAUUUUAAUAAUUGGAGUUAUUCUAAUUUUUUAAAAAUUAAUAUUUAAUUAUAAAAUUAACAUUAAAUUAAUUUCUGUAACUAAUAGUCAAUAAUUUGUAUAUUCAAAUUAUUUUCUCGAAGUACACUCGUCAUUAAACAAAAAAUAUCCUAGAAAGGGUUAAGAUUAGGUUUAAAAUAAGGAGGACCCAGCAUCCUCUUUUCUUUUACCCCCUGUUAUAUUUAUAAUUGUUAUCUCCAUCCACCUAUCAUAGCUUUCGACGGAUGUCUUUAAUCGAUGUUUAAUUACUAUUAGAACGAGGACAAGUACAGUGUUUGAGUCAUUUUAUCUCGUUUGAAAGAAACUGUGACGAUGAAUGUCGAGAGAAGGUGGAACAAGUGUUAGGUAGCGAUUCAUAAAACACAUUAGGUAUGUAGGUCUCGGUUUCUCUCGUUAUUAUGAUAUAUUACUGUCAAUAACAGAGAGAUAUAACAGUAUAAGAUAGUUUGAAAACCUUCGCUCAUAAUUAGAAUUAGGAAUAUAAUUUUCCCCUAAAUUAAAAAAAAAAAAAAAA